Molecule: long non-coding RNA, 4261 nt
Filed under: Anneissia japonica
Lineage: Eukaryota; Metazoa; Echinodermata; Crinoidea; Comatulida; Comatulidae
Description: uncharacterized LOC117105631
Source: RNAcentral
GUUUUUAUUCAAAGGUACAGUAGAACAACUCCUUAUUAAGGGGACACUCCAUAUUAAGGGACAACCAUAUUAAGGGGACACCCCUAUAAGUGGGGGACACUUUUGGCCACAGAACGAGGGAAAGUAUAUCUUUUAACACUAUGCCAAACCCCUAUUCAGGGAACAUCUCUAAUUAGGGGACACUUUUUUGUCCCGAUGGUGUCACCUUUUAAGGGGGUCUUAAUAGGGGUUCUACUGUAUUAUUAAAAUUGAUUAGUUUAUUUAAUCCUUUUAAAUGAGCUUAUCAAUGGAUUUCUAACUAGAUUUAUCAGUGUGAAUAUGUUUUUAACCACUGAUCAGAGUUUAUAUGCUGCUACAUGGACAUGCAUAUACUCCUUUCAACCAACCAAUCAGGAAAAAUUUAGAAUGUUUACAUUUUCCACAGGCAUUAAUUUAGACUCUUGAUGUCAGCUUGUCAUUCAAAGUUGUAUGGUAAUUAAGGUAUUCAAUCAUUGUUGCUUAGCAACCUACCACUCUAACUUGUCAACUUCAGUUACCUCAAUAAAUCGUAAAUACACAACACAUUUUAAUAAAGUAAGUUUUGGUGAUCGCACAAUUAUUUAUAUUAUAGCAUAAAAAAUUGUACAAAUGCCAUCUGCAUGCAAUUGUUUUUACACCACAACAGAUAUAUAAUGGUUUUUCUCUGUUUAAAAGGUAAUGCUGCUUUUAAGUGCACAUGUGAACAUUGAUCACGCCCUCACAAGUUGUGAGAAGUGUUGCAAUGUUCAGUCUAUUGAUCACAACUUGCCAAGGUAUGAUUUGAUCAGAGGGUAUAGAAUUGUAAGAGGUCCGACUGCCCUGAUUUUGUAUGCACGCAAUGAAACGUUAAAAUAUUACUGCCACGAGAUAGGGGGCGCCCUAUUAGAAUUUGAAUAGAGUUUGCGCGAAAAUCGUCUUAUUUUAGGACACGCCUCUUCGUGGCAGUAUUUUUUUUAAUAGGAUUACGUUUCAACGAAACCACGAGAGUCGGACCGCUUGUAGUUCCAUACACUUUGUUUUCAUGGUAAUCACGAGUGAACUGCAAUGUAGAAUUGAAUCUUUCCAGUAACCCCAGCCUCCUUGGAUAUUGUUGCUAAGGUUUGUUUUGGUGAAAUAAGCACGUAAUCUUAGCGAUGUUCUGAUUGGUCAGUUGUCAAGUUUGAUUGACACACCUUGAAGGUCCAUUAAGAUGCAGUAGUUGUUUGCUACCCUGUUCGUCAUUAUGUAAUCAAAAUUAUAUUUUUAAAAAAAACAAUCUUCCAUUGAAAUUCAGUUAUUUUAUGGUUCCAAAACAUGAUAUCUAAAAUAAACUUUCAAAGAAUGUUUGCGAAAUAUUCUUACAGUAUCAUGUACUUUAUUAUAAUUUCCCAAUUUUCAUUGUCAUAAAUAAACUUUAAAUACAUGAAAUUACAAGGCAGCCUUGUAUAUAAUAUAGUGUGAAUACAUGAAAUUACAAGGCAGCCUUGUAUAUAACAUAGUGUGUGAUAGAUUGACUAAAUGUUCUGUGGAUCCGUACCAUACAUGGCGACCUAUUCAGAGAAUCAUCUACGUUUUUUGUCCUAUAAAAAUUUAUAUUCAAAAGAUAUUUUUUAAUGUGUUGCUUCUGUUUUACCAAAAACAAAACCAAAAUGCUGUAGAUUUGUAUAAUAUACAGGUUGUUUUUGUCUGUCCUGUAAAGAGUGCCACGCACGAAUACGGUAUAUAAUCAAGGGAAGACUUGUAGAAACAAGUAUUUAGUGCAAUAAUCAUAAGGAAAUAUAAUUGAAAGUAUACUUCAGAGAAAAAAAAUAUAUAUUUUUGUUGUAAUGUAAAUAGGUUUUUAAUCUGUAGUAGAAGUGGUUAGAUGUCAAAUUAAAUAGAAAUAAUAAUAACCAUGGUCGAAUAUCAAGUGAAUAGUGCCAUGGCAGUUAAUGGUCAAAAGGAGUUUUUAAUGUAUUAAUUAUCCUAAUCUGUGAAUUGAUUGAUUGGAAACACAGCCGUCUUCAUUGGUCAAAUAAACAGUUGUGUUGCUGCUAAUUUUGUUGAAUGAACGCUUGCAUCGCUGUUUUUUGGUCAAUUUAAAAUUAGUAGUACUGUUCUUUGAACAGUUGAAAAUUAGAAUACUGUUCAUUGAUCGAAUGAAACAUUGUACUGUAAUUGAUUGGUUGAAUGUUAAUUGAAGCGUUACUAGAUUAACGAUUAGAGUAUAGUAGUUUGUUCGUUUCGUCUAAUGGAGAAUAUUACUACUGUAGUGCUUAUUAAGACCUGUUGUUUCAGUUUCAUAAAUCUAAUAUAAUAGCUGUCAAAAUAUUUAGCUGUAUACAGUUUCACGUUGUUGUUGUUAUUAUUAUUAUUAUUAUUAUUAUUAUUAUUAUUUGUACACCCAUCUGCUUCUAUGUGUUCAAAUAUUUUUUGCCAAGUUCAUCAUAGUCUAUCCUCUCCCCCAUCCCCCUCCACCACCAUGCACUUUAUUUCCAUUAAAGGAAUUUAGGGUAAUUUGUUUUAAAUGUACAGGUUAUAAAGAAUGUAUUGGUGAUGUGAAAUAUUUUGCUGAGGUCUUUCAUGUUAAAGUUCUUGAGCUCGUAUUUUAUGCUAAUUAUGACGAUCAUAAUCAUCGUAAAGGACUGUUUAAAUGUAUUGGUACACAGCAGGCCUGUAACAAGGCAAGUUUCCCCUUCUGAUAUACCAAAAUCACGCCUUGCAAAAACCAAUUUUUACUAGAAUGCUUCUGCUACAACCCACAUGAAAGCUUUUUCCUGCACACCUAGGUACCCCGCGAUGUCUGGUUCUCAUAAGAACCCCACCCCUAUACUGUACAUAAAAUGCAAGCGGCAGAAACAAUUACAAUGUUGUUCUAGGCUGAUCAUUUCUUUGCUUAUUUGCUGAAUAUCUAAGUACAACAAUUAUUAUUACUCUUGAUUAAUCUGGUAAUAAAGGCAAACUACUGCUUUGAUGUGUCCAUUAAGGGGACAUUUUUUUGGCCGCGAAUCAAGUGAAAAUAUAUCUUAUAAUAUAUAUAACACUGCAACUAACCCCUAUUCAGAGGACACUGCUAUAAGGGGACACCUUUUUGUUCCCCGUUGUGUCUUCUUAAUAGGGAUUCAAAUGUAAUUCCUACGGUAUUUAUUUCAAACGUUAAUGCAUGUAUAAUAUAUUCUCAAGCAGGUGCUAAAUGUGUUCUACUAGGAUAUCACAACAUGUGUGUUACAACAUAUGUGUAACAACAUGUGUGACAACAUGUAUAUAACAACAUGUAUGUAAUAACAUGUAUGUAACAACAUGUGUGUAACACCAUGUAUGUAACAAAAUGUGGGUAGCAACAUGUGUGACAUGCAUGUAACAACAUGUGUGUAACAAGGUGUGUGUAACAACAUGUAUGCUGCAUGUAACAUAUUGUUAACAACAUGUAUGUUACAACAUGUAUGUAACUUGUGUAGCAACAUUUGUGUCGCAACAUGUAUGUUGUAUAGUAGUUUUGAGUAGCAAAGCUCGCUAUUUUAAAAUGUCUCUUCGAGGUGAUAAAGAGUCUGUUGUAGUAUCUAGGAGUAAUUACAACGUGUUAGGUUUGAAUUAUUGAUAUAAGAUAAAGUAUAUAAUUUUGCAUUGUUUAUUAAGGUAAAAUGAAAGACAUCUCUACCGCUAAAUAAUCGGUCUGUGGUCAAACCAAUUAAAUAGCCAAUUGCACUGUCUUGGUGUGAAACUUGGGUGUAACCGUUUGUAUCACGUUUGUACCAUAGUGUGUGGUACCAGGGAAUGGGAGAGGCGGAGUGUGAAGAAACGUAAGUGGUAAAGAUCGUAUUGUUCCGUAUGACAACACAGCUCUAGUCAUGUUCGAUGGAAAAUACUCUGUUGUGAAGAUCAUUCCAUAAAUGAAAAUAAACAAUUUUCCGAUUGUGUUUUAGUUAACCAGAGGCAUUUCCAGAAUGGUACAUUCUGUUAGUUACCGUACCGUUCCAGUUACCCGUUGAAUUAAGAUAUAAUAGAGAGCUUUCGAUUGCACGACGACGGUAGGACGUAGAACGUAAUGACGCCAGUAAAAGUCAUCUGCGCAUAACGGUAAGGUCACCUCGUCGAGUAGGUUCUGAAACGCAAUUUGGCCAAAUCUACGUAUGCAGAGAACGUAGGACGCCAGGUAGGACGGUCACGCAUGAGUGAUUCCGUUCUUGCGUCGCGUCUCACAAAUCGAAAGUUCCCUAAUGUUUAAUAAAUUAUGUAAUACAGUACAUCGUUUACAGUACAUAUUAAUAAAGAAACUAUAAAUCAA